UGAACCACCUGAUCCCUUCCCGAACUCAGAAGUGAAACCUCUUAGCGCUGAUGGUAGUGUGGGGUUACCCAUGUGAGAGUAAGUCAUCGCCAGCU
This 95-nucleotide ribosomal RNA is filed under the name Acinetobacter pittii. The record is from RNAcentral. RNAcentral also lists the same sequence under 1 other name. Lineage: Bacteria; Pseudomonadati; Pseudomonadota; Gammaproteobacteria; Moraxellales; Moraxellaceae.